GGGAAUUUAGCUUAGCGGCAUAAGCGCCUGCCUUGAAAGCAGGCAGUCGUGAGUUCGAUCCCUGGUACCUA
Transfer RNA from Cavia porcellus (domestic guinea pig), 71 nucleotides. It matches the Rfam family "tRNA". From Rfam's summary of the family: Transfer RNA (tRNA) molecules are approximately 80 nucleotides in length. Their secondary structure includes four short double-helical elements and three loops (D, anti-codon, and T loops). NCBI's taxonomy places the organism in Eukaryota, Metazoa, Chordata, Mammalia, Rodentia, Caviidae. The record is from Rfam.